AUUAAGCGCACCCAAGCAAGCCAAAUUCUUAAGAUAUACUCAAUUAGGGUACAGCCUGAUUGAGAAAGGACACAACCUCAACCUUAGGAAAAUGACUAAAUUUUUAUAAUAAAACGACUAAGUUGGCUUAAAAGCAGCCACCUUUUAAAAAGCGUCUAAGCUUCAUCCUCCCUAACCCCAAUUCAAUUAUUUACUCAGAACCCGACACCCCUACUGGGCUUUUCUAUAAUAAUAUAGAAGUAAUUAUGUUAGAACUAGUAACACAGAAAUUUUCUCUUACAUGCACCUUUAAGUCAGGUCGAAUACGUCACUGACAGUUACCCAGUAUGAACCUAAAGUAAUAACUCCACCAGAAAAUCCUACUAAUAACCCUGUUAACCUAACACAAGCUCACGAAAGAAAGAUUACAAGGCCAGGAAGGAACUCGGCAAACACUAGUCCCGCCUGUUUACCAAAAACAUCGCCUUUUGAAUUCUAUAAAAGGUAACGCCUGCCCAGUGACUGCUCGUUAAACGGCCGCGGUACUCUGACCGUGCAAAGGUAGCGUAAUCACUUGUCUUUUAAAUAAGGACCAGUAUGAAUGGCAUCACGAGAACUAAUCUGUCUCCCCCCCCUAAUCAGUGAAACUGAUCCCCCCGUGCAGAAGCGGGGAUGACACCAUAAGACGAGAAGACCCUGUGGAGCUUCAAAUCCAAAAUCAACUACUAUACCCCACCCCAUAAGGACACACUCCCAUAGACUUGACUUAGAUUUUUAGCUGGGGCGGCUGUGGAGAAAAAACCAUCCUCCACGAAAUUCUACUCCAAGGGCUACUGCCCUAAGUAAUAAUAAAUUCAAAUUUAAUUGACCCAAUUUUUGAUCAACGGACCAAGUUACCCCAGGGAUAACAGCGCAAUCCACUUUUAGAGUCCAUAUCGACAAGUGGGCUUACGACCUCGAUGUUGGAUCAGGGCAUCCAAGUGGUGCAACCGCUACUAAAGGUUCGUUUGUUCAACGAUUAAAGCCCU
RNAcentral lists this ribosomal RNA (1007 nucleotides) under Leptobrachella suiyangensis. Its description in RNAcentral is "partial small subunit ribosomal RNA". It matches the Rfam family "Bacterial large subunit ribosomal RNA", at positions 929 to 2597 of the family's 2925-position model. The record is from RNAcentral. Lineage: Eukaryota; Metazoa; Chordata; Amphibia; Anura; Megophryidae.